This 435-nucleotide unclassified non-coding RNA is filed under the name uncultured Devriesia. RNAcentral describes it as "sequence contains ITS1, 5.8S rRNA gene, ITS2". The stretch from base 163 to 316 matches the Rfam family "5.8S ribosomal RNA". Lineage: Eukaryota; Fungi; Ascomycota; Dothideomycetes; Mycosphaerellales; Teratosphaeriaceae. The record is from RNAcentral.
GAGGGAUCAUUACCAGAGAUGGCGGGCCCCGCGCCCCCGUCCCCAACCCUUUGUUGACCAAAACCUUUUUGCCUCGGGGGCAGAGUGGCCGUCAGGCCGCCGCCCCCGGAGGACCACCAAACUCUGUCUCUGUACGUCGGAGUCUUUUGAUAAAUGAAUCAAAACUUUCAACAACGGAUCUCUUGGUUCUGGCAUCGAUGAAGAACGCAGCGAAAUGCGAUAAGUAAUGUGAAUUGCAGAAUUCAGUGAAUCAUCGAAUCUUUGAACGCACAUUGCGCCCUUUGGCAUUCCGAGGGGCAUGCCCGUUCGAGCGUCAUUAAAACCCUCAAGCCUGGCUUGGUAUUGGGCGACGGGGACUCCCCGCGCCUCUAUUUCGCCGGCUGGCCGUCGUUUCGACUUAGCGUUGUGACACAUGUCGCUGACGACGAAGACGGA